Ovis aries (sheep) is the source of this 72-nucleotide transfer RNA. It matches the Rfam family "tRNA". Rfam says of the family: Transfer RNA (tRNA) molecules are approximately 80 nucleotides in length. Their secondary structure includes four short double-helical elements and three loops (D, anti-codon, and T loops). Further hydrogen bonds mediate the characteristic L-shaped molecular structure. tRNAs have two regions of fundamental functional importance: the anti-codon, which is responsible for specific mRNA codon recognition, and the 3' end, to which the tRNAs corresponding amino acid is attached (by aminoacyl-tRNA synthetases). tRNAs cope with the degeneracy of the genetic code in two manners: having more than one tRNA (with a specific anti-codon) for a particular amino acid; and 'wobble' base-pairing, i.e. permitting non-standard base-pairing at the 3rd anti-codon position. Lineage: Eukaryota; Metazoa; Chordata; Mammalia; Artiodactyla; Bovidae. The record is from Rfam.
UCCCUGGUGGGCCAGUGGUUACGACGUGGCACUUUCACUGCUGGUGCCCAGGUUCAAUCCCUGGUCAGGGAG